AAGCAGGGGAUCGUAAGACCUUAUGCUUUUGGAGUGGCCGAUGUCUGAUUAGCUAGUUGGUAGGGUAAAGGCCUACCAAGGCGACGAUCAGUAGUUGGUCUGAGAGGACGACCAGCCACACUGGGACUGAGACACGGCCCAGACUCCUACGGGAGGCAGCAGUGGGGAAUUUUGGACAAUGGGCGCAAGCCUGAUCCAGCAAUGCCGCGUGAGUGAAGAAGGCCUUCGGGUUGUAAAGCUCUUUCAGUUGGGAAGAAAAGAUUGUGACGAAUAAUCACAAUUCAUGACGGUACCGAAAGAAGAAGCACCGGCUAACUACGUGCCAGCAGCCGCGGUAAUACGUAGGGUGCAAGCGUUAAUCGGAAUUACUGGGCGUAAAGGGUGCGCAGGCGGUUCUGUAAGUCAGAUGUGAAAUCCCCGGGCUUAACCUGGGAACUGCGUUUGAAACUACAAGGCUAGA
This 460-nucleotide ribosomal RNA is filed under the name uncultured beta proteobacterium. RNAcentral's name for it is "bacterial SSU rRNA". It matches the Rfam family "Bacterial small subunit ribosomal RNA", at positions 190 to 645 of the family's 1533-position model. Lineage: Bacteria; Pseudomonadati; Pseudomonadota; Betaproteobacteria. The record is from RNAcentral.